AAUUUUUUUUUAUAUCUUAUAGUAUUUGAUUCGUAAAAAAAAAGAGAUUUUUCAUCAGCAUUUGUUUAGUUGAAAGGCAAAAAAUUCAUAUCUGUUUGGUUUGGUAAAAAAAAGAAAAAAAAAUUUAUGCAGCUUCAGUUUUCGUUUUUCACUGAAAGACAGCGAAAUACGAAAACUUAAAUUUGUCCCCAAAUCUAAAAAUAUUUUUUUCGAAUCAAACAAGAGAAAA
RNAcentral lists this long non-coding RNA (229 nucleotides) under Ananas comosus (pineapple). RNAcentral describes it as "long non-coding RNA (ACOM_LNC027064)". The record is from RNAcentral. Lineage: Eukaryota; Viridiplantae; Streptophyta; Magnoliopsida; Poales; Bromeliaceae.